CCGGGGAACGAGCGCGCGAAUUUUCAUUUUCUGGAAUCUGACAGGAUCACCGCAGCUUGGGUCGAGGCGCAGGAAAAGUUUGAGGAAACAGUUUUAUUCCGGUUCGACCACAUAUCCAAGGAUGUUUUUGGUUGUUGAAUUUCUGGAAACCAAGACUGUUAAUAUUAUAGCCGAGUCAUGGUUUGAGGAUGGUGUCACUUGGUGGCCAAAUUAUAGUAAUGAUGAACGCAUAAACAGAGCUGUACAAAAGUGUGAGGAACCAAGAACAGGCUGGAAACAGUAUGAUGUUCGAGUCCUCUCAAGAACUGGCACGUUUUUGGUGAUACAGACUCGGACAAUGAACUAGAAGUGGGUAAAAAGAGGAGAUGCAGCAGUAUCUCCUCUGCACCAGCACCACCUAUUCCUCCACCUACUCCUGACAUACCCUCUGAUUCAGCUCGCCAGACCUCUACUGGACCUCUGCUAAACCUGAGGCAUACUGAAUAUCCCUGUUUUACGACUGUGCCACCUGCCCCCAUUACGACACUUGGCAUGCCUUCCAGUCCUCUUCACCACUUCUCCAUUAGACAUUCUGAACAUGGCCGUUACACAGCUCCAGUGCAUGCAGUUACCACCCCCAUCUCUCACAUGCCCUCAAGCUCUAUGAGCCAGGUCUCUGCUACACCUCUUUCUGAAGAACAUCAAGACCAUUCAUUUAACCCCAGGUUUAGACUGGGGAGGACAGGCACUGGACCUAUUCCUUGCUCUGCCGCUCAACUGCACAUCCUAACAUUGUUGGAACAUAUCAAGGAACAGCAGAUGCAGCUUGCUGCUAUCGUUAAUAAUCUUGCUGCACGUAUGGCGACAGACACUGCUGUGGCUGAAAUGCCUCCCAAUAUCAGUUUGCCACUGGCCACCAUGUCUGAAGUUGAGGAGUUGGAGGAGUGGCUUAAAGAUUCAAGAAACUCGCAGGCUAAGCAAAACAUGAUUUCUGCUCUGGGUGCUACAGGAGGACAAAACGCUAAACGAGUCACAUGGAACAUACUUUCAAGGCUUUUCUCAGAUGCAGUAGCCAAAAAAAUUAA
Long non-coding RNA from Brienomyrus brachyistius, 1064 nucleotides. RefSeq lists it as uncharacterized. The transcript is spliced from 8 exons. Lineage: Eukaryota; Metazoa; Chordata; Actinopteri; Osteoglossiformes; Mormyridae. The record is from RefSeq and is a predicted model, not a curated record.